RNAcentral lists this ribosomal RNA (340 nucleotides) under Escherichia coli. RNAcentral describes it as "partial 23S ribosomal RNA". It matches the Rfam family "Bacterial large subunit ribosomal RNA", at positions 614 to 955 of the family's 2925-position model. The record is from RNAcentral. RNAcentral also lists the same sequence under 2 other names. Lineage: Bacteria; Pseudomonadati; Pseudomonadota; Gammaproteobacteria; Enterobacterales; Enterobacteriaceae.
AAUGGGUCAGCGACUUAUAUUCUGUAGCAAGGUUAACCGAAUAGGGGAGCCGAAGGGAAACCGAGUCUUAACUGGGCGUUAAGUUGCAGGGUAUAGACCCGAAACCCGGUGAUCUAGCCAUGGGCAGGUUGAAGGUUGGGUAACACUAACUGGAGGACCGAACCGACUAAUGUUGAAAAAUUAGCGGAUGACUUGUGGCUGGGGGUGAAAGGCCAAUCAAACCGGGAGAUAGCUGGUUCUCCCCGAAAGCUAUUUAGGUAGCGCCUCGUGAAUUCAUCUCCGGGGGUAGAGCACUGUUUCGGCAAGGGGGUCAUCCCGACUUACCAACCCGAUGCAAACU